This 76-nucleotide transfer RNA is filed under the name Betta splendens (Siamese fighting fish). RNAcentral's name for it is "tRNA-Val". Lineage: Eukaryota; Metazoa; Chordata; Actinopteri; Anabantiformes; Osphronemidae. The record is from RNAcentral.
ACUGAGAAGUUAUCCGUGCAAAUCGGAUCAUUUUGAAACCCAACAGCUAGCUUACCCCCCCAAAAACAAAUAACCC